RNAcentral lists this ribosomal RNA (253 nucleotides) under uncultured bacterium. Its description in RNAcentral is "partial 16S ribosomal RNA". It matches the Rfam family "Bacterial small subunit ribosomal RNA", at positions 524 to 776 of the family's 1533-position model. The record is from RNAcentral.
UACGGAGGGUCCGAGCGUUAUCCGGAAUCAUUGGGUUUAAAGGGUCCGUAGGCGGGCGUCUAAGUCAGUGGUGAAAUUCUGCAGCUCAACUGUAGAACUGCCAUUGAUACUGGUCGUCUUGAAUCGUUGUGAAGUGGCUAGAAUAUGUAGUGUAGCGGUGAAAUGCUUAGAUAUUACAUAGAAUACCGAUUGCGAAGGCAGCUUACUAUGGUUUUAUUGACGCUGAGGCACGAAAGCGUGGGGAUCAAACAGG